UAUCUAUGGUAUGGGUAUUGCAAUAAAAGUAACUUGAAGCGAUCCCAUGCUUCAUGAAAGGAUUCAGUAUCCUUUUGAUAAAAGUUGAAAAUUUCGGCCUUUAACUCU
Molecule: small nucleolar RNA, 108 nt
Organism: Ricinus communis (castor bean)
Lineage: Eukaryota; Viridiplantae; Streptophyta; Magnoliopsida; Malpighiales; Euphorbiaceae
Source: RefSeq, a predicted model, not a curated record